RNAcentral lists this transfer-messenger RNA (382 nucleotides) under Candidatus Kinetoplastidibacterium desouzai. RNAcentral's name for it is "Kinetoplastibacterium desouzaii Standard tmRNA". It matches the Rfam family "transfer-messenger RNA". Rfam says of the family: Bacterial tmRNA, also known as 10Sa RNA or SsrA, is named for its dual tRNA and mRNA-like properties. Its role is to liberate the mRNA from a stalled ribosome. Lineage: Bacteria; Pseudomonadati; Pseudomonadota; Betaproteobacteria. The record is from RNAcentral.
GGGGCCGAGUUGGUUUCGACGUUGGUCAAAAAGUAGAUUGUUGCAUGUCGAGCACCAGUAAGCUCGAUAAAACACUGGAAAAAAUAUAAACGCCAACGAUACGCGUUUCAAGCUAGCAGCUUAACUCUAGCCGUUGCACUAAUCUUUCCUUGGAUUAGACAGUAAAAAGUAUAUUAUUUAUAUGCUAAUAUCUGUAGCAACGUCAUAUACAAGGAAUCAGUUUGUUUUGCUUUCACUCAAAACAAACCUAAUAUUAUGUGAAUCGUUUAUAUAUGGCCUGUUAGUUGGCAUGUAUAUAAAUUAAAACAAUAAACUAACUAAACAUGUAGAAAUGACUAUGGCAGACUAGCGGACGGGGGUUCGAUUCCCCCCGGCUCCACCA